This 267-nucleotide small nucleolar RNA is filed under the name Thermothielavioides terrestris NRRL 8126. RNAcentral's name for it is "Thielavia terrestris NRRL 8126 Fungal small nucleolar RNA U3". It matches the Rfam family "Fungal small nucleolar RNA U3". From Rfam's summary of the family: Small nucleolar RNAs (snoRNAs) are involved in the processing and modification of rRNA in the nucleolus. There are two main classes of snoRNAs: the box C/D class, and the box H/ACA class. The record is from Rfam by way of RNAcentral. Lineage: Eukaryota; Fungi; Ascomycota; Sordariomycetes; Sordariales; Chaetomiaceae.
UGCGACAAUACUUCAGAGAAUCAUUUCUAUAGUAGUUGUCCUCUCUUGUGUUCCCUAAAGGAGCCACAGAUCCCACCCGGGUUGAUGAACGAUAUCCUCGAUGCCCUACUGUGAGGUCCUUUUCUUACUCUCGCUCUGCCUGCAAAGGUGGCGGUCCGGCCUCGAGCCGUGGCUGUAUAGAGAGUGGCGAUGAUCGGUACCCCGGUAUCUUGGGGUCUUGCCUUCGGGCGCUCAAGCGGGGUGGGUGUCGAUGGAAGUCUGACCGGC